This 802-nucleotide ribosomal RNA is filed under the name uncultured bacterium. Its description in RNAcentral is "bacterial SSU rRNA". It matches the Rfam family "Bacterial small subunit ribosomal RNA", at positions 107 to 911 of the family's 1533-position model. The record is from RNAcentral.
UGAGUAACACGUAUCCAACCUGCCGAUGACUCGGGGAUAGCCUUUCGAAAGAAAGAUUAAUACCCGAUGGCAUAGUUCUUCCGCAUGGUAGAACUAUUAAAGAAUUUCGGUCAUCGAUGGGGAUGCGUUCCAUUAGGUUGUUGGCGGGGUAACGGCCCACCAAGCCUUCGAUGGAUAGGGGUUCUGAGAGGAAGGUCCCCCACAUUGGAACUGAGACACGGUCCAAACUCCUACGGGAGGCAGCAGUGAGGAAUAUUGGUCAAUGGACGAGAGUCUGAACCAGCCAAGUAGCGUGAAGGAUGACUGCCCUAUGGGUUGUAAACUUCUUUUAUACGGGAAUAAAGUGAGGCACGUGUGCCUUUUUGUAUGUACCGUAUGAAUAAGGAUCGGCCAACUCCGUGCCAGCAGCCGCGGUAGUACGGAGGAUCCGAGCGUUAUCCGGAUUUAUUGGGUUUAAAGGGAGCGUAGGCGGACGCUUAAGUCAGUUGUGAAAGUUUGCGGCUCAACCGUAAAAUUGCAGUUGAUACUGGGUGUCUUGAGUACAGUAGAGGCAGGCGGAAUUCGUGGUGUAGCGGUGAAAUGCUUAGAUAUCACGAAGAACUCCGAUUGCGAAGGCAGCUUGCUGGACUGUAACUGACGCUGAUGCUCGAAAGUGUGGGUAUCAAACAGGAUUAGAUACCCUGGUAGUCCACACAGUAAACGAUGAAUACUCGCUGUUUGCGAUAUACAGUAAGUGGCCAAGCGAAAGCGUUAAGUAUUCCACCUGGGGAGUACGCCGGCAACGGUGAAACUCAAAGGAAUU